This 71-nucleotide transfer RNA is filed under the name Leptoxis ampla. RNAcentral's name for it is "tRNA-Ser". The record is from RNAcentral. Lineage: Eukaryota; Metazoa; Mollusca; Gastropoda; Pleuroceridae.
UGGCUAAAUAUUUUANUCUNAAAAAAUGNAGUUCGAAUUCAAGAUUGGUGUAGUAAAUUACCUUUAACCAU